UACGUAGGGGGCGAGCGUUGUCCGGAUUUAUUGGGCGUAAAGAGCGCGUAGGCGGCUUGCCAAGUCGUGCGUGAAAUACCCCGGCUCAACCGGGGGGAGUCGUGCGAUACUGGUGGGCUUGAGGCCGGUAGGGGGAAGCGGAAUUCCCGGUGUAGUGGUGGAAUGCGUAGAUAUCGGGAGGAACACCAGUGGCGAAGGCGGCUUCCUGGACCGGUCCUGACACUCAGGAGCGAAAGCGUGGGGAGCGAUCCGG
Molecule: ribosomal RNA, 253 nt
Filed under: uncultured bacterium
Lineage: Bacteria
Description: partial 16S ribosomal RNA
Rfam family: Bacterial small subunit ribosomal RNA
Source: RNAcentral